RNAcentral lists this ribosomal RNA (464 nucleotides) under Pseudomonas aeruginosa. RNAcentral describes it as "bacterial SSU rRNA". It matches the Rfam family "Bacterial small subunit ribosomal RNA", at positions 338 to 794 of the family's 1533-position model. The record is from RNAcentral. Lineage: Bacteria; Pseudomonadati; Pseudomonadota; Gammaproteobacteria; Pseudomonadales; Pseudomonadaceae.
CCUACGGGCGGCUGCAGUGGGGAAUAUUGCGCAAUGGGGGCAACCCUGACGCAGCCAUGCCGCGUGAAUGAAGAAGGCCUUCGGGUUGUAAAGUUCUUUCGGUAGCGAGGAAGGUGGUUAGUUUAAUAGGCUAGCCAAUUGACGUUAACUACAGAAGAAGCACCGGCUAACUCCGUGCCAGCAGCCGCGGUAAUACGGAGGGUGCGAGCGUUAAUCGGAAUAACUGGGCGUAAAGGGCACGCAGGCGGACUUUUAAGUGAGGUGUGAAAGCCCCGGGCUUAACCUGGGAAUUGCAUUUCAGACUGGGAGUCUAGAGUACUUUAGGGAGGGGUAGAAUUCCACGUGUAGCGGUGAAAUGCGUAGAGAUGUGGAGGAAUACCGAAGGCGAAGGCAGCCCCUUGGGAAUGUACUGACGCUCAUGUGCGAAAGCGUGGGGAGCAAACAGGAUUAGAUACCCCAGUAGU